UACGGGGGGGGCAAGCGUUGUUCGGAAUUACUGGGCGUAAAGGGCUCGUAGGCGGCCAACUAAGUCAGACGUGAAAUCCCUCGGCUUAACCGGGGAACUGCGUCUGAUACUGGAUGGCUUGAGUUUGGGAGAGGGAUGCGGAAUUCCAGGUGUAGCGGUGAAAUGCGUAGAUAUCUGGAGGAACACCGGUGGCGAAGGCGGCAUCCUGGACCGGUAUUGACGCUGAUGCGCGAAAGCCAGGGGAGCAAACGGG
RNAcentral lists this ribosomal RNA (253 nucleotides) under uncultured bacterium. RNAcentral describes it as "partial 16S ribosomal RNA". It matches the Rfam family "Bacterial small subunit ribosomal RNA", at positions 524 to 776 of the family's 1533-position model. The record is from RNAcentral.